AUUGAACGCUGGCGGCAGGCCUAACACAUGCAAGUCGAGCGGAUGAAGGGAGCUUGCUCCUGGAUUCAGCGGCGGACGGGUGAGUAAUGCCUAGGAAUCUGCCUGGUAGUGGGGGAUAACGUCCGGAAACGGGCGCUAAUACCGCAUACGUCCUGAGGGAGAAAGUGGGGGAUCUUCGGACCUCACGCUAUCAGAUGAGCCUAGGUCGGAUUAGCUAGUUGGUGGGGUAAAGGCCUACCAAGGCGACGAUCCGUAACUGGUCUGAGAGGAUGAUCAGUCACACUGGAACUGAGACACGGUCCAGGCUCCUACGGGAGGCAGCAGUGGGGAAUAUUGGACAAUGGGCGAAAGCCUGAUCCAGCCAUGCCGCGUGUGUGAAGAAGGUCUUCGGAUUGUAAAGCACUGUAAGUUGGGAGGAAGGGCAGUAAGUUAAUACCUUACUGUUUUGACGUUACCAACAGAAUAAGCACCGGCUAACUUCGUG
This 484-nucleotide ribosomal RNA is filed under the name uncultured bacterium. RNAcentral's name for it is "partial 16S ribosomal RNA". It matches the Rfam family "Bacterial small subunit ribosomal RNA", at positions 30 to 507 of the family's 1533-position model. The record is from RNAcentral.